This 75-nucleotide small nucleolar RNA is filed under the name Catagonus wagneri (Chacoan peccary). RNAcentral describes it as "Small nucleolar RNA SNORD113/SNORD114 family (ENSCWAG00000005261.1)". It matches the Rfam family "Small nucleolar RNA SNORD113/SNORD114 family". Rfam says of the family: The imprinted human domain at 14q32 contains two clusters of tandemly repeated small nucleolar RNAs named 14q(I) and 14q(II) snoRNAs. These two clusters are named SNORD113 and SNORD114 respectively in the HGNC approved gene symbol nomenclature. The record is from Rfam by way of RNAcentral. Lineage: Eukaryota; Metazoa; Chordata; Mammalia; Artiodactyla; Tayassuidae.
UGGAUCGAUGAUGAUCAAUGCCGGCGUAUGAGUCACUGAUGAUGAGUAAUACGUAUCUGGAACUCUGAGGUCCAG